CCUAGCCUGAAAGGGCGGGUAUUGCUAAUGUGUUUUCAAAAGGUCUUCCCAAUCCUCUGCUUUAGAUAGAUCGGACCUUAGAUAGAAGAACACAACGGAUCCUCCAGUGACUGAUGACCCAAAGGACGGAUGAUGUCACAGUCAUCUGGAUCAGGAGAUGGGAGUGAUGAUAAGGCUAUUACCUCUAAAGACGGUGGCCUACUGAACAUCAGUCACACAGCAUGGUAAUAUGGUUGUUCCAAGGUAUCUGCAGGGAACUGGCUCCAGGAACCCUGCAGAUACCAAAAUCGGUGCAUAUUCAACUCCCACAGUCAGCUCUGCGGAACCCACAGAUACAAAAAUUGGCCUUCCCUUUACAGGUUUCCAAUCCUGCAAAUCCUGUAUUUUCCAUUCCUGCUUGAUUGCUGAUGUGGGACCUGCCCAUGCAGAGGGCCGACCGUAUUUAUUGAAAAAAUAUGUGUAUAAAUGGACCAUCACAGUUUAAACCCCAGUUGUUCAAGGGUCACCUGUAAACAGUUGCCUAAAUGGGCCAUGAUCUUUCUCAUGCUUCCAUGUCUCUGCACACACUGUUCCCCUUUUCAAGUAAUCCAUAGAUCUUUAGAUCUCACUGUCCUGAUACUACAAAUUUAGUUUGGAUUUGUAUGAUUAAUAUACAGAUUACAACAUUAAGCCCCCAUAUUGUGGACCAUAGAGAGUCCAUUCUUCCACCAGAUAGGAGGGUGCAUCCCUCGCCCUUGAGUAAUUUCCAGAAAUCCACAAGGUAUGCUUAAAUGUUACAAAAAUCAAUCCUAGUUGUCAUUUGUUAUCUCUGCCAGCUAUUCUUUCUGCAUACUGUCAUGGUCUGCCUUCAAUAAGUCACCACUUCCCAUCUUGAAACUUUUUUUAAAAAAACCUUUUAGUUUUUUUAAUUUUAAAAAUUUCUGCAAACACUAUGGCGACUUGUGUAAUUUUAGUACAUACAAAAGAUGUAUGAUGUGUAAUUUAUGGAGCAUAAUUAUUAAAUAAACAUCCAGGAAUCCA
RNAcentral lists this small RNA (1020 nucleotides) under Pongo abelii (Sumatran orangutan). Its description in RNAcentral is "processed transcript". Lineage: Eukaryota; Metazoa; Chordata; Mammalia; Primates; Hominidae. The record is from RNAcentral.